CUCUCUGCGGAAGCCAGCCACCGCUCUCCAAGGACUCUCGAGCAGCUCCAUCUACAGAUUCACAUGGAGAAGAAUUAAGGGUUCCUGCCAAUCACCAGCACCACUUUGCCAGCCUUGUAAGUGGGCCACCUUGGAAUUGGAGCCUCCAGUUCCUACUGACAUCUGACUGCAACAUCAUGAGAGACCCUGAGUUUGAACCACCCAGCUGAGCUGCUUCUGAGCUAACCCACUGAAACCAGUCUUGCUCUGUCACCCAGGCUAGAGUGCAAUGGCAUAAUCUCAGCUCACUGCAACAUCUGCCUCCCAGGUUCAAGCAAUUCUCCUGCCUCAGCCUCCCAAGAAGGUGAAAGUACCUGAAUGAAACAACACCCAGUAGCCACUAGCACACCUAGCUCCCAGAUCUGUUUUUGAUGCCAUUCUUCAGUAAAAGGAAGCAAGGCUGCUUGGAGAAAUUGCUAUCAAGGACUGGGGUAGAAAAUAUACAAGAUGAAAUUGGAGCAUCUUGUAGUGCUUGAAAACAGUUGGCAUCUGUGUGAAGAUGUGAAUGGAGGAGGCAGAGUAGGCAGUGAGUGCCGCAGCCACAGCUUGUGUUCUCUGCAGCCCUGGCACAGAAGAUAGGAACACUCAUGGGGGAUGCGGCCACUGUGAUGUCUUCCCACACAAGAAGUGCCAAGUGCUUUUCUCAUGCUUUUCUGGAUUGUCCCAUGGUGGACGAGUCAGCAGGAGUGAGAUGGAGCAGCACAGUAGAGGGGUACCUGGCAAGGCCCGGAGGGAGGACCCCCUGCCCCAAACAUUUCAAUGAUAUCAGGUUCCUUAGAUCCUGGGAUGAGGAGGUGGACCAGCAGAAGGUGGGCUUGUGAAGGCAGCCCGGGGUCCAAAUCCUCCUGGCUCUUCAGCUUAGCGGGUUAGUUAACAUUCAGAAGCCUUCAUCUCCCAUCUGCAAAAUGGGCAUGUCCAACUCAGAAGCUGCCUUGAAGAAAGGGUCUACCCAGCAUGGUGCGUGGAGCCUAAGCAGUCAGUACUUCAGGACUUCACCCGGCCCCUUUCCAAUAACUGCUGCUGUCGCCCUCACAGGAUGUCACCUUCAGCGUCUGAAAGCUGGGUUUGAUGCGUCUGGAAAGGCGUCCCUGACAGGCGUCGUUGCCAGGAGCCCCUAGUGCCACCAGCAGCCAGCAGGGGAGGGCGUCCUCUGCCCGCUCACUUCUGACCCUUCUCUCGUUGCACCCGGAACAUGGUGCAGCUGGGAGCAGCCUGGGCUGCGCGGAAGGCUCAGAUUUGGGGACGGCCCUUGCCAGUGACUGUGAGCUGGGGUGUCUUGGAAACUCCCAGUCUCAGCUUCUCCAUUUAUAAGAUGAGAAUGAUCAUACCAGACUCAGGCAAGGUUGUUUGUGCAUUAGUGAAAUCAGACGUAUUAAAUAAAGUACCACAUUGAUCGUGGAGUUGUUGAAUAACCAAGAA
Molecule: long non-coding RNA, 1458 nt
Filed under: Homo sapiens (human)
Lineage: Eukaryota; Metazoa; Chordata; Mammalia; Primates; Hominidae
Description: long intergenic non-protein coding RNA 658
Source: RNAcentral